This 383-nucleotide RNase P RNA is filed under the name Paraflavisolibacter caeni. Its description in RNAcentral is "Bacterial RNase P class A". It matches the Rfam family "Bacterial RNase P class A". Rfam says of the family: Ribonuclease P (RNase P) is a ubiquitous endoribonuclease, found in archaea, bacteria and eukarya as well as chloroplasts and mitochondria. Its best characterised activity is the generation of mature 5'-ends of tRNAs by cleaving the 5'-leader elements of precursor-tRNAs. Lineage: Bacteria; Pseudomonadati; Bacteroidota; Chitinophagia; Chitinophagales; Chitinophagaceae. The record is from Rfam by way of RNAcentral.
ACUGCAGGCUGUGCUACCGUGGCGCUGAUAGGCGUUAAGGAAAGUCCGGACAGCACAGAGCAACGUACCGGUUAAUAGCCGGCUUUCCCGUUUUCCGGGAUACGAGAUAGUGCCACAGAAAAUAACCGCCAAUUAUUGACAUAGGAAUAUAUCAAUAAUUGGUAAGGGUGAAAAUGCAGGGUAAGAGCCUGCGUCUUGUUGUGGUAACACAAUUGGAGGGUAAACCUUGCGUGCUGAAAUGCCAUGUAUAGGGCUGUUUGAGGGCUGCUCGUCCGAUGGUCCAGGGUAGGCAGAUAGAUCCGGUUAGUAAUAACCGGGCCAGAUAAAUGGUAGCUAUGUCCGAAAGGAUGAAACAGAAUCCGGCUUACAGGCUUGCAGUUUUU